Molecule: long non-coding RNA, 340 nt
Filed under: Sus scrofa (pig)
Lineage: Eukaryota; Metazoa; Chordata; Mammalia; Artiodactyla; Suidae
Description: lncRNA (ENSSSCG00070017030.1)
Source: RNAcentral
CUCAUGUGCUUUGAAUGUUCACUGACCUGUGAAGAUGGCCUAGUGGAUAAAUAAACUUAUACAUGGACCUGGCAAGUCUGAAGGAUAUUAGAAAGAGAGUUCGGAUUCCUGGGGGGAAGCGCAUUCUAACACAGUGGUUAAUGACUGCAGCAAGGAUGGAAUAAAAGAAACAUGCCAACUCAUUUACACAAAGCCUGAGGCUUAUCCAGGAUUGCUGUCUCUCGCUAGCAGAUGGGGGUUUUCCUCUCCGAAAACGAGCCCCGUUCUAGUCCCUAGAGCUACUGGGUACUGGCCAACUUCUCGCAAGCGCUGAAGAGACAGCAGAGAUGACAGGCACAGG